GGAUGUGAAGGUGAUCUGGCUGAGACAUCUGUCACCCCAUUGAUCACCAGUGUUGAUUUGGCUGAUCUGGCUGGCGAGGCGGGUGUCCCCUUCCUCCCUCACCGCUCCAUGUGAGUCCCUCCCAAAGCUGUGUGCUUGGUCGAGGAGGAUGACCAUCCCUGAUGGAGGAGGACCGGUCUUUGGUCAAGGGUGUACGAGUAGCUUUGCUCCCCUGCUAGAACCUCCAAACACACUCUCAAGAAUUAGAGUAAAAGCAGUGAGUCCAUUAAUGUGAACUUAAAGAAAAAUAUGAAAUACGGGUACAUGGUCUCAGGGUCUUC
Molecule: small nuclear RNA, 320 nt
Filed under: Callithrix jacchus (white-tufted-ear marmoset)
Lineage: Eukaryota; Metazoa; Chordata; Mammalia; Primates; Cebidae
Description: 7SK RNA
Rfam family: 7SK RNA
About the family: 7SK was discovered as an abundant small nuclear RNA in the mid-70s but a possible function has only recently been suggested. Two independent studies have found that 7SK RNA binds the CDK9/cyclin T complex (known as elongation factor P-TEFb). P-TEFb activates transcription by phosphorylating the C-terminal domain of RNA polymerase II.
Source: Rfam by way of RNAcentral